GAUGAACGCUGGCGGCGUGCCUAAUACAUGCAAGUCGAGCGAACAGACGAGGAGCUUGCUCCUCUGACGUUAGCGGCGGACGGGUGAGUAACACGUGGAUAACCUACCUAUAAGACUGGGAUAACUUCGGGAAACCGGAGCUAAUACCGGAUAAUAUAUUGAACCGCAUGGUUCAAUAGUGAAAGACGGUUUUGCUGUCACUUAUAGAUGGAUCCGCGCCGCAUUAGCGAGUUGGUAAGGUAACGGCUUACCAAGGCAACGAUGCGUAACCGACCUGAGAGGGGGAUCGGGCACACCGGAAGUGAAAAACGGUCCACACUCCUACGGGUAGCAGCAGUAGGGAAUCUUCCGAAAAGGGCGAAAGCCUGACGGAGCAACGCCGCGUGAGUCAUGAAGGUCUACGGAUCGUAAAACUCUGUUAUGAGGGAAGAACAAAUGUGUAAGUAACUAUGAACAUCUUGACGGUACCUAAUCAGAAAGCCACGGCUAACUACGGG
This 497-nucleotide ribosomal RNA is filed under the name uncultured bacterium. Its description in RNAcentral is "partial 16S ribosomal RNA". It matches the Rfam family "Bacterial small subunit ribosomal RNA", at positions 28 to 507 of the family's 1533-position model. The record is from RNAcentral.